CACCCUUUAAUGUUUGAUGUUCUAACGUUGACCCGUAAUCCGGGUUGCGGACAGUGUCUGGUGGGUAGUUUGACUGGGGCGGUCUCCUCCUAAAGAGUAACGGAGGAGCACGAAGGUUGGCUAAUCCUGGUCGGACAUCAGGAGGUUAGUGCAAUGGCAUAAGCCAGCUUGACUGCGAGCGUGACGGCGCGAGCAGGUGCGAAAGCAGGUCAUAGUGAUCCGGUGGUUCUGAAUGGAAGGGCCAUCGCUCAACGGAUAAAAGGUACUCCGGGGAUAACAGGCUGAUACCGCCCAAGAGUUCAUAUCGACGGCGGUGUUUGGCACCUCGAUGUCGGCUCAUCACAUCCUGGGGCUGAAGUAGGUCCCAAGGGUAUGGCUGUUCGCCAUUUAAAGUGGUACGCGAGCUGGGUUUAGAACGUCGUGAGACAGUUCGGUCCCUAUCUGCCGUGGGCGCUGGAGAACUGAGGGGGGCUGCUCCUAGUACGAGAGGACCGGAGUGGACGCAUCACUGGUGUUCGGGUUGUCAUGCCAAUGGCACUGCCCGGUAGCUAAAUGCGGAAGAGAUAAGUGCUGAAAGCAUCUAAGCACGAAACUUGCCCCGAGAUGAGUUCUCCCUGACUCCUUGAGAGUCCUGAAGGAACGUUGAAGACGACGACGUUGAUAGGCCGGGUGUGUAAGCGCAGCGAUGCGUUGAGCUAACCGGUACUAAUGAACCGUGAGGCUUAACCUUACAACGCCGAAG
Molecule: ribosomal RNA, 742 nt
Filed under: Escherichia coli
Lineage: Bacteria; Pseudomonadati; Pseudomonadota; Gammaproteobacteria; Enterobacterales; Enterobacteriaceae
Description: partial 23S ribosomal RNA
Rfam family: Bacterial large subunit ribosomal RNA
Source: RNAcentral